AUACGGAGGGGGCUAGCGUUGUUCGGAAUUACUGGGCGUAAAGGGCGUGUAGGCGGCUUUGCCAGUCAGGCGUGAAAGCCCCGGGCUUAACCUGGGAAUUGCGUUUGAUACUGCGAGGCUAGAGUUCGGGAGAGGAGUGUGGAAUUCCCAGUGUAGCGGUGAAAUGCGUAGAUAUUGGGAGGAACACCGGUGGCGAAGGCGGCACUCUGGACCGAAACUGACGCUGAGGCGCGAAAGCUAGGGGAGCAAACGGGAUUAGAUACCCCAGUAGUCC
This 274-nucleotide ribosomal RNA is filed under the name uncultured bacterium. Its description in RNAcentral is "partial 16S ribosomal RNA". It matches the Rfam family "Bacterial small subunit ribosomal RNA", at positions 523 to 796 of the family's 1533-position model. The record is from RNAcentral.